This 1442-nucleotide long non-coding RNA is filed under the name Struthio camelus australis. RNAcentral's name for it is "lncRNA (ENSSCUG00000002039.1)". The record is from RNAcentral. Lineage: Eukaryota; Metazoa; Chordata; Aves; Struthioniformes; Struthionidae.
CUUUCCUUACAUACUUAGCCUGGAUGAUGAGGAGAAGAACAAUGUUGCUGAUGCCAAGUUUGCUGUAAAGUUCCCUAGAGUCCACAGCAUGGUUCAGACAAAGAGUUCCUUAUCUGGGGGCUCUGGGAGUGAUUAUUCCCUGGAGAAAGUGACAACUCUAUCAAGCAGAAAAUCUAUGAUACCUGUGCAACAGGGCUGCAGAUUCCACUGUGACGUUCCCAGAUCUUUGAUGGAUCAAACCUCUCAGAGAAACAGCCAACAGUAUUCCUGCAAUGGUGAAAUAUUUGCAUCAAGAGCAGGCAGUGCAAGACAGGUGACAUCUACCGCAACCCAAUACAGAGUGACUAGGCUUCUGAGCUCCUCGCCCCAGCAGAUCAAAACUCCUGAGGAAACUUCCACAUCCCAGUUCUUCACCACUGGGCAAGACUUGCAGUCUCACCACAAAGACACUAAACUCUCCCUUUCUUCAGAAGCAUCUGGAAAUUACUGUUAUGCUCUGAGCUUCCUUCCGCAGCAAGAAGAGGAUUCAAGGCAUAGAGUAGAUUAUUCCAGGAAGGUAGAUGUCAACGAGAAUUCAGGUGCCCUUCAGACUGCAGCGUCCAAAGUCAUAUCUUAUGUUCACUGGUCUCAGCAGCAGGCUCAGGGAUAUGAUCCUGCGGCAUGGCUGAAGUCUGAACUGCUGCUCCCACGACUCACCAUUGAGAACCUAAGCAAAUGGACCAUUUACAAGGACCCACAUCUGGCAAACAGCCAUGGGAUGAAGGUCUUCAGGGAUGAGUGGGAAGCAGAAGAUAUUACUGAGGAUAUGCUAGAGAUGGAUGUAAUGCAGAAACAGGUGUACACGGAUGAAGACCACAGUGUGGAAGUUGAGGAGAUUGAAGAUCUAACUGGACUGGAGUACGUAGUGUCAGCAGUGAUCUGAAGCUAACUGAAAGUCACAGGGGCUGGUUUGUUAUCCUUUAAAGCUCCUGUUGGCUCAGCCGCAGAAAGCAUAUUGUAGACCCUUGGCUACCACUUGAGAACAUUGAAUGAAUUUAGUGCGUACCCUAUUAGAGGUAUGAUGCUGCUGAGGAAAGCUAAGUAAAAGGCUGAAUUGCACUAUUUAAGUCAUGGACCUGCACUGAGUCAGGUGCAGAGGAAACUCCUGACUACACUGUGUGCAGUGUGUCCCCACACUCUGUUACACAGAGAGUGCACGCUGAAUCUCGAGGGUCACACAGCAGAGAGAGUAGCUCACCAUGGUUAGUAAACUUUCUUACAGAUGCAUCCAGAGAACUCUAGCUCUCCUGUUAAACUGUUCCUAGGCCUAAAAUGAGUUUUAAAAAACAAAUCUACUUUAUGGAUAGGAGAAAUGAGGUCUAGAGGCUGAUGUGACCUCUGUGACGUUGCAGAGGGACAGAACCGUGAAUUGAACAUACCAUUCUUGUUGCGUGAAGUGGGCA